AAGCUGCUCUGCUGCAGAAACGUAGUAUACCAGACAUACUGUCUGUUAUUAAAUGGCUUCUUAAUAUUGGAAGGAGCAUCAGCUUGAUUUUGUGUUCUGCUAGAUUGGUAUAAUUCAAGUGAAUUGUUAUACUUGUAUUAUACCAGUGAAGUGCGCUGACAGGAGAUUCAAGUCAUGAAAUUAUAGAAAGGCAAAAUAUACUGUGUAAUAAGCAGGAACCAUGUUCUGGAGUAGGGAGAGGGAAGCUAUGACAUAUCAGAAAAAAACAAAACAAAACAAAACAAAAACAUAUAAAAUGAAGCCUUCAGAACCGGAGGAAGAGAGAUCAAGAGUGGAGUCCUUACUCAGCUUAUAUUUUGCCCUUAUUCUUACAACACUUCUGCUGACUCUGAACUGA
Molecule: long non-coding RNA, 397 nt
Filed under: Anser brachyrhynchus (Pink-footed goose)
Lineage: Eukaryota; Metazoa; Chordata; Aves; Anseriformes; Anatidae
Description: lncRNA (ENSABRG00000009914.1)
Source: RNAcentral